GCCUGAUCCAGCAUGCCGCGUGAGUGAAGAAGGCCUUCGGGUUGUAAACCUCUUUUCUCAGGGCAAGUAAAAGGGCCGGGCAGGGAAGAAGCUCCGGAUAAUUCCGUGCCACCAGCCGCCGGAAUACUACGGGGGAUGCCCCCGUUCGGAAUUACUGGUGCGUCGAGAAGACUCCGGCUGUGGUGCAAGUAGGAGGUGAAAGCCCGGGGCUCAACUCCGGAACUGCCUUUGAAACUAGACCUCUACAAAUGCAGGAGAGGUGGGUGGAAUUCCGAGUGUGGAGGUGAAAUUCGUAUAUAUUCGGAAGAACCCCUUGGGUGAAAGCGGCUCAUUGGGCCUAUAGUGACGCUGAGGUGCAAAAACGUGGGGGGAAAACAGGAAUAAAUACCCUGGGAGUCCCCUCCGCUAAAUACUAUGGCUUGCUGGCAGGGCUCUUUCUCCCCCUUUCGCGCCGUAACUUU
This 461-nucleotide ribosomal RNA is filed under the name uncultured bacterium. Its description in RNAcentral is "bacterial SSU rRNA". It matches the Rfam family "Bacterial small subunit ribosomal RNA", at positions 381 to 861 of the family's 1533-position model. The record is from RNAcentral.